CUUGACCGAGCCGAGCCGCAGCGGCCGAUCCGCCGGGCGGCCCUGCCCGUACGUGGCGAGCAGGGCGGUCGCCUC
Molecule: non-coding RNA, 75 nt
Organism: Micromonospora coxensis
Lineage: Bacteria; Bacillati; Actinomycetota; Actinomycetes; Micromonosporales; Micromonosporaceae
Source: Rfam